This 800-nucleotide ribosomal RNA is filed under the name uncultured bacterium. RNAcentral's name for it is "bacterial SSU rRNA". It matches the Rfam family "Bacterial small subunit ribosomal RNA", at positions 9 to 784 of the family's 1533-position model. The record is from RNAcentral.
GAGUUUGAUCCUGGCUCAGAUUGAACGCUGGCGGCGUGCCUAACACAUGCAAGUCGUACGAGGACACCCCUUCGGGGGUGAGCCGAGUGGCGGACGGGUGCGUAACACGUGACCAACCUGCCUUCGAGAGGGGGAUAACCUGGGGAAACUCGGGCUAAUACCGCAUGAAGUGUCGUGCUCGCAUGGGCGUGACAUUAAAGGGAGGCCUCUACUUGUAAGCUUUCGCUCGAAGAGGGGGUCGCGGCGUAUCAGCUAGUUGGUAGGGUAACGGCCUACCAAGGCGACGACGCGUAGCGGGUCUGAGAGGACGACCCGCCACAUUGGGACUGAGAUACGGCCCAGACUCCUACGGGAGGCAGCAGUGGGGAAUAUUGCGCAAUGGCCGAAAGGCUGACGCAGCGACGCCGCGUGUGGGAGGAAGCCCUUCGGGGUGUAAACCACUGUCGAGAGGGACGAAUCCCGGACGGGCAAAUAGCCCGGACGGUUGACGGUACCUCUAAAGGAAGCACCGGCUAACUCCGUGCCAGCAGCCGCGGUAAGACGGAGGGUGCGAGCGUUGUUCGGAAUUACUGGGCGUAAAGCGCGGGCAGGUGGUUCUUUAAGUCCUUUGUGAAAUUCCGGAGCUCAACUCCGGAUGUGCAUAGGAUACUGGAGGACUGGAGACUGGUAGAGGCGAGCGGAAUUCCUGGUGUAGCGGUGGAAUGCGUAGAUAUCAGGAAGAACACCGGUGGCGAAGGCGGCUCGCUGGGCCAGUUCUGACACUCAUCCGCGAAAGCGUGGGGAGCAAACAGGAUUAGAUA